GGAAGUAGAUUCAUAUCAGAUAACCAGAAUCAGAAAGAUGUUCGUCUCAGACUGGCUGAGAACGGCGAGGUCCUUGACUGGAUGAGUACGGCGAGUCUGAGUUUGGGAGAGGGCGAGAGGCAAAACGACGAGAGUGCGUUUGGGAAACGAAGUAUUGAUUUGGAAUUAGGUUUUAAAAUUUUGCGUGUUAGUUUUUUUUUCCUUCACACCUCCACCUAGUCCAAGGCCACCUCGAUAUUCCUCAAUGUGCCGGCUAUUCAUGGAAGGUGAGAAGCAGAUGAAUAAGCAUCUGCUUACGGAAGAAAUCAAAGAAUUUUCGGACGCACCUACUUCACAUAGACUGCUUAGGCGGUCCCUGGGUGACAGUCCGCCCAACUGAAACGACUGAGGAAAUCCAGGCGGCUUUGCUCCGCCUAUAGCCUAAGCGGGGCAUGGAGGUGCCUUUUAAAACAUGGAUAAAAUCAUGUCGCCUAAUCGGCCAACCGCCCAGGCAGACUAGUCAGCCGAUAAAGCAGACUAGUCGGCAGACAAGGAGGGCUACCGCCUAGCUCUCAGGACUAAGCCAUAAUCGAAACGGUGCAAUGCCAACUAGCGCGUAGGUGGGCGGCUGGUCGGUUCUAGUAUGAGAAUGCCUAUGGUUUGGAUCAAAUGAAUUUGAUGCCCACAGCUGCAAUGUACGAUGCUAUAAUGGCUGAGAAGAACAUGUCCCGUGGGUUAAAGCUUUUUGAAGAAAUGAAAGAAGCAGAUGUAAAACCAGAUCAUCCGAUUUUCAGCAUUCUAUUGAACUAGGAAAAAGACUUGUUGCUAGCCGAUAAGGGCAUAUUCCAGUAGAGCUUCAAUGCUGUUUAAAGCGUGCUGGUCCAAUCCCUUGCUUCUUCAUGGGCAAUUGUCUGAUGCAUUUAUUUAUUUUUGGUCAGUUGUAUACUAGCAACGCGAUGCGUGUGCUGUGGUGUAUUAAUACAUAAAUAAAACAGAUUCUCUAAUAAAUUAUGAGUUAUUGUAAACAAAUAUAUAUUUUUGAUAACUCAUGUCAAGGUAGCCCUUACAGAUCUACCCGCUACCACCUACGAUACAAGACUUUGUAACCCUAAAAUUAUAGUGAUACGUAGUAUAGACUACCUAUGUUUGAAACUCAGGCUCACUUAUGAAAGCAAGCCUACUCUUGUGAUCAAUAGCAUAGUUGCAUAGUUUGUA
Molecule: RNA transcript, 1194 nt
Organism: Fragaria vesca subsp. vesca
Lineage: Eukaryota; Viridiplantae; Streptophyta; Magnoliopsida; Rosales; Rosaceae
Exons: 4
Source: RefSeq, a predicted model, not a curated record